GUGGUUGUAGCUCAGUGGUAGAGCGCUUGCCUGGCAUGUGCAAAGCACUGGGUUCAAGUCUCAAUGCCACA
This 71-nucleotide transfer RNA is filed under the name Urocitellus parryii (Arctic ground squirrel). RNAcentral's name for it is "Spermophilus parryii (Arctic ground squirrel) tRNA". It matches the Rfam family "tRNA". From Rfam's summary of the family: Transfer RNA (tRNA) molecules are approximately 80 nucleotides in length. RNAcentral also lists the same sequence under 1 other name. The record is from Rfam by way of RNAcentral. Lineage: Eukaryota; Metazoa; Chordata; Mammalia; Rodentia; Sciuridae.